UAGGGAAUCUUCCACAAUGGGCGCAAGCCUGAUGGAGCAACACCGCGUGAGUGAAGAAGGGUUUCGGCUCGUAAAGCUCUGUUGUUGGAGAAGAACGUGCGUGAGAGUAACUGUUCACGCAGUGACGGUAUCCAACCAGAAAGUCACGGCUAACUACGUG
This 160-nucleotide ribosomal RNA is filed under the name uncultured bacterium. RNAcentral's name for it is "partial 16S ribosomal RNA". It matches the Rfam family "Bacterial small subunit ribosomal RNA", at positions 355 to 507 of the family's 1533-position model. RNAcentral also lists the same sequence under 2 other names. The record is from RNAcentral.